RNAcentral lists this ribosomal RNA (154 nucleotides) under uncultured fungus. RNAcentral's name for it is "partial 5.8S ribosomal RNA". It matches the Rfam family "5.8S ribosomal RNA". From Rfam's summary of the family: 5.8S ribosomal RNA (5.8S rRNA) is a component of the large subunit of the eukaryotic ribosome. It is transcribed by RNA polymerase I as part of the 45S precursor that also contains 18S and 28S rRNA. Functionally, it is thought that 5.8S rRNA may be involved in ribosome translocation. Lineage: Eukaryota; Fungi. The record is from RNAcentral.
AACUUUUAGCAAUGGAUCUCUUGGCUCUCGCAUCGAUGAAGAACGCAGCGAAUUGCGAUAUGUAAUGUGAAUUGCAGAAUUCAGUGAAUCAUCGAAUCUUUGAACGCACCUUGCGCCCUUUGGUAUUCCGAAGGGCAUGCCUGUUUGAGUGUCA